RNAcentral lists this ribosomal RNA (374 nucleotides) under uncultured organism. RNAcentral describes it as "partial 16S ribosomal RNA". It matches the Rfam family "Bacterial small subunit ribosomal RNA", at positions 527 to 896 of the family's 1533-position model. The record is from RNAcentral.
GUAGGUGGCAAGCGUUGUCCGGAAUUAUUGGGCGUAAAGCGCGCGCAGGUGGUUCUUUAAGUCUGAUGUGAAAGCCCCCGGCUCAACCGGGGAGGGUCAUUGGAAACUGGGGAACUUGAGUGCAGGAGAGGAAAGUGGAAUUCCACGUGUAGCGGUGAAAUGCGUAGAUAUGUGGAGGAACACCAGUGGCGAAGGCGACUCUCUGGCCUGUAACUGACACUGAGGCGCGAAAGCGUGGGGAGCAAACAGGGAUUAGAUACCCUGGUAGUCCACGCCGUAAACGAUGAGUGCUAAGUGUUGGGGGGGUUUCCCGCCCCUCAGUGCUGCAGCUAACGCAUUAAGCACUCCGCCUGGGGAGUACGGUCGCAAGACUG